GCAAGAUUAAACUCAAAGNAAUUGACGGGGANCCGCACAAGCGGUGGAUNAUGUGGAUUAAUUCGAUGCAACGCGAAAAACCUUACCUACCCUUGACAUGUCUGGAAGGCCGAAGAGAUUUGGCUGUGCUCGCAAGAGAACUGGAACACAGGUGCUGCAUGGCUGUCGUCAGCUCGUGUCGUGAGAUGUUGGGUUAAGUCCCGCAACGAGCGCAACCCUUGUCAUUAGUUGCUACGAAAGGGCACUCUAAUGAGACUGCCGGUGACNAACCGGAGGAAGGUGGGGAUGACGUCAAGUCCUCAUGGCCCUUAUGGGUAGGGCUUCACACGUCAUACAAUGGUCGGGACAGAGGGUCGCCAACCCGCGAGGGGGAGCCAAUCCCAGNAACCCGAUCGUAGUCCGGAUCGCAGUCUGCAACUCGACUGCGUGAAGUCGGAAUCGCUAGUAAUCGCGGAUCAGCAUGUCGCGGUGAAUACGUUCCCGGGUCUUGUACACACCGCCCGUCACACCAUGGGAGUGGGUUUUACCAGAAGUU
This 535-nucleotide ribosomal RNA is filed under the name uncultured bacterium. RNAcentral describes it as "bacterial SSU rRNA". It matches the Rfam family "Bacterial small subunit ribosomal RNA", at positions 888 to 1428 of the family's 1533-position model. The record is from RNAcentral.